GCAGUUUAUUCUUGUGGGGAUGGUCAGCUCUGCAGAUUAUAUAAUAGCAUGCAUUUGAAACAAAUCUGCACGUUAUGGAAGUUUGUACAUUAGAACUGGGAAGAAAGGUCAAGCCAAUUUCAUCACUAGCAUGAGACUUGGCAAUAUUGCAAGGUGAAGCGGACGGCACCGGCCGCAUUGAUUUCAUUAGAUGCAGAGGUGAUGGAUUUUAUACUAUUGUUUUUCUGGAAAUGCGUGUGCAUAGUUCCAAUCUCAAGGACCGAUGGAAAUGAAGAUUACACAUUUUUCUUUAAGACUACUAAAAGAUGGUUUGGCAGUUUGGAGAUUGAAGUGCUUUGAAUAGCCGUCGGGAAGUGGUGGUGUAGUGUUGGAUAUUAAAAAUCAGCUAAUAGUGCAUCUUUUUCUUGGAAGU
Molecule: long non-coding RNA, 412 nt
Organism: Triticum dicoccoides
Lineage: Eukaryota; Viridiplantae; Streptophyta; Magnoliopsida; Poales; Poaceae
Exons: 4
Source: RefSeq, a predicted model, not a curated record